Molecule: long non-coding RNA, 832 nt
Organism: Cornus florida
Lineage: Eukaryota; Viridiplantae; Streptophyta; Magnoliopsida; Cornales; Cornaceae
Exons: 2
Source: RefSeq, a predicted model, not a curated record
UACAAUAUAUGGAAACUCUCACUAACCUGUCUGCAAUAUAUGCAUGGCGUGACAAUUUUCAAAUUGCAUCAAUUGGGACCACUUUAAUAUAUUUCUUUAAUUGUCUUUUUUAUUAUUUAUUUACUUAUUUAUUAUAUGAUCAACAAUACUUUUUUUCAUUCACCUAUUCUCUCUAUCUUGUGCCCAAUAAAAAUUAUAAUUCCCCUUUAAUUCCACCAUUUCAAACCUCUAUUUAUACCCAUUAAUUCACCCUCUAGCUCUUCACUCUAGCUUUAACAAAAGAUUGAGAGAGAACAAGAAGCUAGGUCAAUAUAUAUAUCUCUCUCUAGAUCUUCAAUAGACUACCCAAUUUUAGGAGUGCCUAUUUUCUUUUCGUGCACCCCCAUCUGUUGAAGCUGCCAGCGUGAUCUUAACUUCCCUCCUUUGUUGAGGAAUGAUCAGAUCAUGUGGUAGCUUCACCUGUUGCUGGUGGCACGGCAAAACCCUAAUUUCACAUCAACCCUAAUUUUCAUAUGCUUACACACACACACACACACACACACCCACACCCAUACAACCCAUCUAGGGUUUUCCUUCAAAAUCCUACAUCAGGUGGUUGAGAAGCCUAGUAGCUGAUUGGAGUCUUCGAUUAGGCCUCAUCAUACUCGUGGAAUUUAGAUGCCUGGAUUAUAUUCAAUGUUGCUGGUUUUGGCUGUCUUGGCCACAGUUGUAGAUCAUAUAACUUUAAGUUUGAUGUUAUUGUUUUGAUCAUCUUGUCUUGUUAGCUUGUAUUUAUAUUUUUUCCUUUUUAAUAAUUUUUCGUGAACUGAAAAUAUAGAUGUGUUCUUUGGAA